RNAcentral lists this long non-coding RNA (414 nucleotides) under Physcomitrium patens. Its description in RNAcentral is "long non-coding RNA (PPAT_LNC008325)". The record is from RNAcentral. Lineage: Eukaryota; Viridiplantae; Streptophyta; Bryopsida; Funariales; Funariaceae.
AGCAAGAUUUGAAAGAGAAUUCAAGCUAUUCUCAACCCCGAGGAUCCAUGAGCUUCCGUUCUGAACAAGAUCCGAAAGAGAAUACAAGCCAUUGGCAACCUCGAGCAUUGAUGAGCUUCCGCUGUGAACAAGAUCCGAAAGGCAAGACAAUUCACUGCCAACCCCAACCAUCGAUAAGCUUCUGUAGCGAACAAGACCCAAAGGAUAACACGGUCCAGUACCUACCCCAAGCUUCGAUGAGCUUCCCUGGUGAACGUGACCCGAAAGAGAAUACAAUCGACUGCCAACCCCAAGCAUCGAUUAGCUUCCGUUGUGAACGAGACCCAAUAGACAAGACAAUCCACUGCCAACCCCAACCAUCAAUGAGCUUCCAUAGCCAACAAGACCCGAAAGAGAAUACAAGCCAUUGGCAAC